Molecule: small nucleolar RNA, 146 nt
Filed under: Dichanthelium oligosanthes
Lineage: Eukaryota; Viridiplantae; Streptophyta; Magnoliopsida; Poales; Poaceae
Description: small nucleolar RNA snoR135
Rfam family: small nucleolar RNA snoR135
Source: Rfam by way of RNAcentral
UGUGCAGGACUUGUCUAAAUAGGCAUACAACUUUCAUUGUGUUACUUGCCACCUGAACUUGUUCCCUGCUAGACCAAUCUGAGAAAAAUGGGCAGUUGAGUUUGGCCUGUCUUGUGGUUCCCUCAACAAUCAUUUUUCCCAUAGUU